RNAcentral lists this transfer RNA (93 nucleotides) under Mycobacterium paragordonae. Its description in RNAcentral is "tRNA-Gly". Lineage: Bacteria; Bacillati; Actinomycetota; Actinomycetes; Mycobacteriales; Mycobacteriaceae. The record is from RNAcentral.
GCCGGCGGUGCCGGAGGGACCGGGCUGGGGCCCAUCGCCGCUGGGCCGGGCGGAUUGGGCGGACGAGCGCUGUCGUUCUUCGGCGCGCCGGGG